RNAcentral lists this ribosomal RNA (510 nucleotides) under uncultured bacterium. Its description in RNAcentral is "partial 16S ribosomal RNA". It matches the Rfam family "Bacterial small subunit ribosomal RNA", at positions 28 to 507 of the family's 1533-position model. The record is from RNAcentral.
GACGAACGCUGGCGGCGUGCUUAACACAUGCAAGUCGAACGAAGAGCGAUGGAAGCUUGCUUCUAUCAAUCUUAGUGGCGAACGGGUGAGUAACGCGUAAUCAACCCGCCCUUCAGAGGGGGACAACAGUUGGAAACGACUGCUAAUACCGCAUACGAUCUAAUCUCGGCAUCGAGGAUAGAUGAAAGGUGGCCUCUACAUGUAAGCUAUCACUGAAGGAGGGGAUUGCGUCUGAUUAGCUAGUUGGAGGGGUAACGGCCCACCAAGGCGAUGAUCAGUAGCCGGUCUGAGAGGAUGAACGGCCACAUUGGGACUGAGACACGGCCCAGACUCCUACGGGAGGCAGCAGUGGGGAAUCUUCCGCAAUGGACGAAAGUCUGACGGAGCAACGCCGCGUGAGUGAUGACGGCCUUCGGGUUGUAAAGCUCUGUUAAUCGGGACGAAAGGCCUUCUUGCGAAUAGUGAGAAGGAUUGACGGUACCGGAAGAGAAAGCCACGGCUAACUACGUG